RNAcentral lists this ribosomal RNA (368 nucleotides) under uncultured eukaryote. Its description in RNAcentral is "SSU rRNA". It matches the Rfam family "Eukaryotic small subunit ribosomal RNA", at positions 587 to 972 of the family's 1831-position model. The record is from RNAcentral.
AGCUCCAAUAGCGUAUAUUAAAGUUGUUGCAGUUAAAAAGCUCGUAGUUGAAGUUCUGAUUGUUCGGGUUUCUAGACAUUAGUCGGAGAUACUGACAGUCAUCCGCUUGCAAACAUAUGUUCGACCUUAAUCAGUUGGCUAUGUGAGUAAGCAUUUUACCUUGAGAAAAACAGAGUGUUCCAGGCAGGUUUGUCCGGAAUGCAUUAGCAUGGAAUAAUAGAAUAUGACUGAAGUCUAUUUAUUGGUUACAGGCUUUAGUAAUGAUUAAUAGGAACAGUCGGGGGCAUUCGUACUCAGCAGUCAGAGGUGAAAUUCUAAGAUUUGCUGAAGACGAACUAAUGCGAAAGCAUUUGCCAAGGAUGUUUUCA